CGAGGAAAAAGGAAAAGACCCGGCGGUAUAGCUGCGGGCGUCUACUUGUCGUCGUCCCUUCGGUUCUUUCCGUACGCCAUAUAUAUACGAUGAUAGAAAUCUACGGUUGUACAAACCAAUUGCUAACAAAUUCUACCGUGUUAUCAAAAAAAGCAUCUUAAUGUAAACCUACUGACGAUGUAUUGCUAUUUUCAGUAUCCGAAUUACAGCGUGCGGAAAUUAUCGGCUUUUUGAUUUUUUUCUACUCCGCGCAAAACUUCUUCGUUCUUUGAAGCGUGUGCGUUGUAUACUAUAAAACAUUAGUUUUCGGGUACCUAUUACUACGCCUAAAUAUUUUACG
This is a non-coding RNA of Cinara cedri, 340 nucleotides long. NCBI's taxonomy places the organism in Eukaryota, Metazoa, Arthropoda, Insecta, Hemiptera, Aphididae. The record is from the annotation of a GenBank genome assembly.